AUAAGCAAUGCCUGAGCUCUCAAGCAGCAAGAAUGAAAAGUGCAUUCUCUACUAAUUUUGAAGGACAACCUGGGCUUCUUGUCUACAAAUUACAAAUUCGGACCAACGCAUACACCCAAGGAUCCACAAGAAACGAAUGUACCGGCUGAAUGCAGCCGAACAAAAUCAUUACAGAAUUAGUAGUUUUCUGACCCACUUACUAAAAUUAAAAAAAAUGAAGAAGAAGCGGAAUCCUUCCAUUGAGACCCCAGGGAAAUGUAGAUUUAUACCUUUGAUGUAUUGCUUGGUUCUUCUUCAAUUAAAUUCUGGGAUCAGUUUUUGAGUCCUUGCCACCUUCUCUUCUUUUAAUAGCAUAACUUCCAUCUUCCAGCAGCAUCAUAAUUGGUCCCUGAUUCCUGACUUCCUCCCCCCUGUGGUUCAUCCUUAACACCAGCACC
Artibeus jamaicensis (Jamaican fruit-eating bat) is the source of this 437-nucleotide long non-coding RNA. RefSeq lists it as uncharacterized. Lineage: Eukaryota; Metazoa; Chordata; Mammalia; Chiroptera; Phyllostomidae. The record is from RefSeq and is a predicted model, not a curated record. The transcript is spliced from 3 exons.